Molecule: long non-coding RNA, 500 nt
Organism: Gadus morhua (Atlantic cod)
Lineage: Eukaryota; Metazoa; Chordata; Actinopteri; Gadiformes; Gadidae
Exons: 3
Source: RefSeq, a predicted model, not a curated record
ACUUGCACAAGCACUUCCUGAUUCGCCGUAAUACAGCUCAUCAGCUUCCGGUUCCAAGAUGGCAACGUUCUACACCCGGUGUUUACAGGAGCUGACGACCAUAAAUAUCACAGAUGUGCAUCUUUUAUGUCGGGAAACAAAAACUCAGACAAGCAAAUUGGAGAAGGGGUUUAGGCUGUAUGCUUCGACCUACAUUCACAGCUACGAAGAUCAAGCUUUGUGAUUCAUCAGCCAAGGGAUGAAAAAAGAAAGAGUUAAUCUAUGGGCUGAAGCAGCUGUCUCUGAGAGGAAAGGAAAAAACCUCAGUCACCUCCCUUUUACCUGUAUUGUGACUUGUGCCACUACGCAACGGUUGCUCUACCGGAUGGCGUCGUAACUAAUCCCUGGCACUCAGUUGACAGGUUUGUUUAGUUUCCUCUUUGGGUGCAGUUCAAUAACUGCCCCAACUUCCUGUAGGACAACCUGAUGUGUGUGGAUAUCCAAUGCCCUAAUGUGUUCUC